CGGACUAACACAUUUGACAGGGGGGACUUUGAAAAUUUUGGCAAAAAAUACUGUUCAUCUUCUUCUUUGAGAAGAAGAAGCAAAAACCCCAAACCAUCGUGAAAAAAAAAAGAACCACCCCCCCUCCCCCCAACCUUAGCGCCGUUUGACACCAUUUCCACAUUUCGCUCUCAACAGAGAAACAAAAAAUACAUACAAAUUUCACCUUUCCUUAGAUCUGUACACACAUACUGAACUACAUAUUUGUCCAUUUAGACUCACGCGUAGAGGGAUCCAUAGAAAGGAUGUGAAGUUGACUCCGGCAAAUGAAUCUCAAAAGCGAAGCGUUUCAACUUGAGAUCUAAAAAAGAGAAAGCCGAGGAGCACAAAAAUUUGUUAAAAAAAAAUGACUUCGAAGAGCUAUUGAGUUUGGUUGAUUUGGCUAUACAGUAGCCGGGUUUUCAAAGUUGCAUCGAGUUUUUGGAGGGCUAUUUUAUCGCUGACUACUUGCUUGGACUGCAGCUGGGUUUCUUCCUCUUUCAUCACUAUAUUGCUACUUGUUUUAUUCCCUAAGAGAUCGAUAGACAGCUUUGUAGUAUAUAAAUGAUGGAUCUGCUAUUAGUUCUGUAAAUGGCUUAGUACAGGUACUUCCUGGACAGGUUAGGUAAACCUGUAGUACUGCAUGCGUACAGAGAACAGAAUACGAUUGCAGAUAAAUUAGCAAAGGUAGGCUGCAAUUUUGCAAACUACUCAACAGUGCAUGUUUUGAAUAUUAGCCCAGACUAUGCUUGCAGAGUUUUUGAACAUGAUAAGAGUGCAGUUCUGGAAUAAAAUGAGAGUGCAGUGCAAGAACUUGUUUUGAAACACUAUAAGCCUCACUCUGAAAACCUUAAUAUUGUAAAUAGGUAUUGUAAUAGUAGCUUGACGGAUAGUAGUAUUGGUAUUAGCUUUUAUAAUCCUUUAGCACCAACAGUUGGUGCAAUAUCAUGUAACGAGCUGCAAGAUAUGUAGUCAUUCUCUGUACGCAAUGUUUAAUAUUUAUACA
Molecule: long non-coding RNA, 1024 nt
Organism: Nicotiana tabacum (common tobacco)
Lineage: Eukaryota; Viridiplantae; Streptophyta; Magnoliopsida; Solanales; Solanaceae
Source: RefSeq, a predicted model, not a curated record